This 851-nucleotide unclassified non-coding RNA is filed under the name Hevea brasiliensis (rubber tree). The record is from RNAcentral. Lineage: Eukaryota; Viridiplantae; Streptophyta; Magnoliopsida; Malpighiales; Euphorbiaceae.
AGUUUUAUAUUACAUUUUUAAGUUAAGGGAUUGUGAUGUUACAAUCAUAUAAGUUCAAGGACCAUUGUUGAAAUUUAUCUAGAAAAUAAGUCAAACAUGUAUUCCUACAAUUAAUAAAAAGGACAACAACCUCAUCCAUAUUAAUGAAUAUUAAAAAAUUAGUAAGAACUUCUGAGGUUAAGCCAACAAAACCAAAAGCAUUCCAUAGAACCAUACACAAGCUCUUAAAAUUUUCUAGGUAAACACCAACUUGAGGUUUGUCAUAUCUGGUCUAUUGGAUUACACAAUUUUUCUCAACUCUUUAAUCAACAUGCUCGCCUUUCUCUUAAACUCUUAACUUUUGCUUGUAUCAUAUAAUUCCCUCUCCAUCUUCACACAAAACCAAACCAACUAGUUGUCACUGCUACUUGUCCUUUACUAUUUUUUUUAAAUAUACAAUCUUUCUUGUAACAUCUAUCUUAUAGAUUUGGAAAGAGGCCAUGAACAAAAACAAAAAAAAAAAUUGUAGGAUUUGCAAUGGUCAUCGACCUAUGAAAGUAACCUAAUACACAAUACUAAGAAGCCAAAACUAUGAACUUUGUAUAACAAUGUACACUAUUGAAAUCUAUGUAUCAUCAGGGGAGAAAAUUUGGUCGGUGUGUUCUUAUUCAGUUUGAAAAUUAGCAAAGUUGAAUAAACUGGAAUCUCUUAGAAGGAAAAUUGAACUGAACCUACCAAGAACCAAAUCAAACGAAAAACUGAAAUAAUUGUCUAUUUAGGUUUUUGAUUAAAAAUACAUAUUUUUAUAUAUAACUAUAUAAAAAUAUAUAAAUAUAUAAUCUGGUGGGUUCAGUUAUUAUUAUUAUUAUUAU